GGGCGGAUAGAUCAGACUGGAAGAUCGUCUGAUUUGCAAUCAGAAGGUCUCGGGUUCAAAUCCCGAUCCGUCCACCA
This 77-nucleotide transfer RNA is filed under the name Methanomassiliicoccales archaeon. Its description in RNAcentral is "tRNA-Ala". It matches the Rfam family "tRNA". From Rfam's summary of the family: Transfer RNA (tRNA) molecules are approximately 80 nucleotides in length. Their secondary structure includes four short double-helical elements and three loops (D, anti-codon, and T loops). Lineage: Archaea; Methanobacteriati; Thermoplasmatota; Thermoplasmata; Methanomassiliicoccales. The record is from RNAcentral.